UGGGAUAUUCAAUUGCAAUUU
RNAcentral lists this non-coding RNA (21 nucleotides) under Caenorhabditis elegans. The record is from RNAcentral. Lineage: Eukaryota; Metazoa; Nematoda; Chromadorea; Rhabditida; Rhabditidae.